UUCGGUGCCGGCCGUCACAGGCAGGGUAAUUUCUCCUUCCGUCGCGACAGCGUCUCCGGCAAAGCCGAUCAAGGGCAUAGAGACCCUCUUAAGUCGGUCGGUUGAUAGUUGCAUCCGGGCGAAGGUCGAGUAAAACAAAAUAUUUAUCGAACUUCCAUUAUCAACAAAAAAAAUUUUUACAUCAUAGUUUGCUAUUGUUGCCGAAACAACAACAGCGUCGUCGUGGGGAGUUUGGAUGCCCCGAACGUCUUCCUCCGUAAAGGUGAUUACGUCGUCCGGACGCAAUUUUUUCGUCGGCUCCCCUCCCGCAGAUGUCCCCGGGCCCAGUCGCUUGGAGAUCAUAUUGAUGACCCCGGCCGUCGGCUGAUUAGUCGUCGCUUCUUCAGUCGGUUGGGGUCGUCGGUCGGCAACUGGUUGGGUCGGCGGGUUCUUCCAAAAUUUACCGAGAUACCCCCGGCGAAUGAGGG
This 467-nucleotide long non-coding RNA is filed under the name Elaeis guineensis (African oil palm). RNAcentral describes it as "long non-coding RNA (EGUI_LNC006220)". Lineage: Eukaryota; Viridiplantae; Streptophyta; Magnoliopsida; Arecales; Arecaceae. The record is from RNAcentral.